This 326-nucleotide ribosomal RNA is filed under the name Bacillus proteolyticus. Its description in RNAcentral is "bacterial SSU rRNA". It matches the Rfam family "Bacterial small subunit ribosomal RNA", at positions 123 to 442 of the family's 1533-position model. The record is from RNAcentral. Lineage: Bacteria; Bacillati; Bacillota; Bacilli; Caryophanales; Bacillaceae.
AACCUGCCCAUAAGACUGGGAUAACUCCGGGAAACCGGGGCUAAUACCGGAUAACAUUUUGAACUGCAUGGUUCGAAAUUGAAAGGCGGCUUCGGCUGUCACUUAUGGAUGGACCCGCGUCGCAUUAGCUAGUUGGUGAGGUAACGGCUCACCAAGGCAACGAUGCGUAGCCGACCUGAGAGGGUGAUCGGCCACACUGGGACUGAGACACGGCCCAGACUCCUACGGGAGGCAGCAGUAGGGAAUCUUCCGCAAUGGACGAAAGUCUGACGGAGCAACGCCGCGUGAGUGAUGAAGGCUUUCGGGUCGUAAAACUCUGUUGUUAG